RNAcentral lists this non-coding RNA (31 nucleotides) under Mus musculus (house mouse). Lineage: Eukaryota; Metazoa; Chordata; Mammalia; Rodentia; Muridae. The record is from RNAcentral.
UGGGAAAUGUAGUUGGCUUCCCAGCCCACCC